This is a non-coding RNA of Acanthosepion pharaonis, 90 nucleotides long. NCBI's taxonomy places the organism in Eukaryota, Metazoa, Mollusca, Cephalopoda, Sepiida, Sepiidae. The record is from the annotation of a GenBank genome assembly.
ACGUUGAAACACCAGUUCCCGUACGAUCUCCGAAGUUAAGCAACGUCGAGCCUGGUCAGUAUCUAGAUAGGUGACCGCUCGGAAAUGCCA